RNAcentral lists this ribosomal RNA (186 nucleotides) under uncultured bacterium. Its description in RNAcentral is "partial 16S ribosomal RNA". It matches the Rfam family "Bacterial small subunit ribosomal RNA", at positions 225 to 410 of the family's 1533-position model. The record is from RNAcentral.
CGGGGCCUGCGUUCGAUUAGCUAGUUGGUGGGGUAAUGGCUCACCAAGGCGACGAUCGAUAGGUGGUCUGAGAGGACGAUCACCCAGACUGGGACUGAGACACGGCCCAGACUCCUACGGGAGGCAGCAGUCGGGAAUUUUGCGCAAUGGGGGAAACCCUGACGCAGCAAUACCGCGUGUGGGAUG